RNAcentral lists this small RNA (739 nucleotides) under Pan troglodytes (chimpanzee). RNAcentral describes it as "retained intron". The record is from RNAcentral. Lineage: Eukaryota; Metazoa; Chordata; Mammalia; Primates; Hominidae.
AUGGAUGCCACAGCCAAUGAUGUGCCUUCUCCAUAUGAAGUCAGAGGGUAAGUGGAUUAAAACUUAACAAAAGUGUCGAGGCAAUAGAUAGGAAUAAAGCUUGUAACCACCAGGAAAUCAUUACUACACAUAGUUUUCAUAUUCCAGUUGAAGGCAGAACCACUGAUUCCUUCUUGGCUUAAGAGUUCUGCAGCAUGGGCCCACAUAACUGCUUGAAAUUAAUAAAUGUUUCUUUCCCCAGUUUUCCUACCAUAUACUUCUCUCCAGCCAACAAGAAGCUAAAUCCAAAGAAAUAUGAAGGUGGCCGUGAAUUAAGUGAUUUUAUUAGCUAUCUACAAAGAGAAGCUACAAACCCCCCUGUAAUUCAAGAAGAAAAACCCAAGAAGAAGAAGAAGGCACAGGAGGAUCUCUAAAGCAGUAGCCAAACACCACUUUGUAAAAGGACUCUUCCAUCAGAGAUGGGAAAACCAUUGGGGAGGACUAGGACCCAUAUGGGAAUUACUACCUCUCAGGGCCGAGAGGACAGAAUGGAUAUAAUCUGAAUCCUGUUAAAUUUUCUCUAAACUGUUUCUUAGCUGCACUGUUUAUGGAAAUACCAGGACCAGUUUAUGUUUGUGGUUUUGGGAAAAAUUAUUUGUGUUGGGGGAAAUGUUGUGGGGGUGGGGUUGAGUUGGGGGUAUUUUCUAAUUUUUUUGUACAUUUGGAACAGUGACAAUAAAUGAGACCCCUUUAAACUGUC